AGCGAACGUUAGCGGCGGGCUUAACACAUGCAAGUCGCACGAGAACGAGGGGGCAACUCCUCUAGUAAAGUGGCGCACGGGUGCGUAACACGUAGGUGAACUACCCUCCGAUGGGGGACAACCGGCCGAAAGGCUGGCUAAUACCGCGUAAGUCAACGGGGGCAUUCGAGCCCUGUUGGGAAAGCGGCCCUCUUCACGAAAGGUCGCGUCGGAGGUUGUGCCUGCGGCCCAUCAGCUAGUUGGUGAGGAAUGGCUCACCAAGGCUAAGACGGGUAGCUGGUCUGAGAGGAUGAUCAGCCACACUGGAACUGAGACACGGUCCAGACUCCUAC
This 332-nucleotide ribosomal RNA is filed under the name uncultured bacterium. RNAcentral's name for it is "bacterial SSU rRNA". It matches the Rfam family "Bacterial small subunit ribosomal RNA", at positions 29 to 342 of the family's 1533-position model. The record is from RNAcentral.